AUGGAGGAAAAGAAAUACCACCGAUGCAUUGGUGUAUUCCUCCAUGGUUUCAAUGACAGAGGAGAUACCUCACGGUGGGGCCGUGCCAUCGAUGAAAUGUCGAGUUUCAGAGUGAUUUGCCUGCUCUUCAAUGAUCACAUCGGGGUAUGUGAUAACAUUGGCACGGCGAACGCCUACGUGUUCGAAGAGGGAUGGAGGGGGAAGCGUGCCAGCUGGUUCAUCGUCAAGUACCCAGAGAGGGCCAGUCCUGAAUUCCGCUUCCAUGCCACGGAAUCCCUGCAUUUCCUUGGUCGUGCCCAAAUUUCUAUCUUCUGGGCCAUGCAAGAUGACCCUUCCUCUAUGCUAACCUAUAAUUUCCAGUGGAAAGACGAGUUUGAGAUCCUCGCAUUGCCGGACCACAUCCGAGGAUCGGCUUUGUGGGUACUCAAUAUCAACGACGACAUGGUGCAUCUUGCUUGCUUGCAGGGCGACAACCUUUGCAUCUUUGUGGCAAGGCGGUAUGAUAGCCCUGACUGGGAGCUUCAGAAGAGCCUACAAUUAAUGGAGGCUACUCGUGGACUGGAAGGGCACAAGGAUGAGUACUUCCGUCAGCCUACGAAGAUUGUCUCAACCAGCACGAGCUCUAUCGUGUUUUCUAUGGCAGAGGGGAAAUGGCUGUUUUCCAUCGACUUUGAGAGCAUGGAGGUGGCGAAAUACAAAUACAAGCCGCAUUCUUUUGAAACCGUAGCUUAUCCGUGUGAGCUUCCAUGGCUACCUGCCAUUCGUGCUUGUAUUGUGCCUUGUACUACUACCAGAUGGGGCAAUCGCGGAUGUUCUGGUAUUUGUAUAUGUCGAAGUCUCUAA
RNAcentral lists this ribosomal RNA (843 nucleotides) under Triticum aestivum (bread wheat). RNAcentral's name for it is "partial small subunit ribosomal RNA". Lineage: Eukaryota; Viridiplantae; Streptophyta; Magnoliopsida; Poales; Poaceae. The record is from RNAcentral.